RNAcentral lists this long non-coding RNA (440 nucleotides) under Hordeum vulgare. RNAcentral's name for it is "long non-coding RNA (HVUL_LNC017243)". Lineage: Eukaryota; Viridiplantae; Streptophyta; Magnoliopsida; Poales; Poaceae. The record is from RNAcentral.
CGAGAAUCAAAUAGUAAGGUAUGCUAGGGAUUACAUGGUGGAUACCACCUAUUGGAAAUAUGAGACAUAGACUAACAUGGAAACAAGGUAAGAAAAAUUCUGUUUUCCCAUAAACUACAGAAGUAUGUGGGCCUUUCAUUGAUGAGCAUUUUUUAUGUUUCAUGUACGGAGGAAGAACAAAUUAGAGUAAACAUUAUAGUCACAUGCUUAGUCGGUGGAGCAUGCUGCUCGGACAUACCCAACUAUUUGAUGUUCGAGAGUACAUUCUACAAAUGACUUGAUGGAAGGAAAUACCAUGGAAGCAAGGUGAUUGGAUUAUUCAUUUCUUUUGCACAAUUUAUUUACAUUUAUUUCAAAUAAUUACCAGUCACAUGUAAAAAAUGGCUAAUCAUUUGUUUUGUAGGUACUUACGUUUUUGAUCAUUUGGUUUUCUGUUUUUC